Long non-coding RNA from Esox lucius (northern pike), 4489 nucleotides. The record is from Ensembl. NCBI's taxonomy places the organism in Eukaryota, Metazoa, Chordata, Actinopteri, Esociformes, Esocidae.
AACAAUUAAAUUAAAAAACAAACUGAAAUCUUUGAGGGGGAAAAAUGAAAAAGAAAAACCUUAAAAUAACCUGGUUGCAUAAGUGUGCACACCCUCUUAUAAAUGGGGACGUGGCUGUGUUCAGAAUUAACCAGUCACAUUCAAACUCAUGUUAAAAAGAAGUCAUUACACACUUGCCAUCAUUUAAAGUGACUGAUUACUCACAAAUAAAGUUCAGCUUUUCUAGUAGGAUUUUCCUGACAUUUUCUUAGUUCCAUCUCAGAGCAAAAGCCAUGGUCCGCAGAAAGCUUCCAAAGCAUCAGAGGGAUCUAACUGUUGAAAGAUAUCAGUCAGGAGAAGGGUGCAAAAUUUCUAAAGCAUUAGAUAUACCAUGGAACAAAGUGAAGUGGAGAAAAUAUGGCACAACAGAGACAUUACCAAGAACUGGACGCCCCUCCAAAAUGUAUGAAAAGAUAAAAAGAAAACUGGUCAGGGAGGCUUCCAAGAGGCCUACAGCUACAUUAAAUGAACUUCAGGAAUUUCUGGCAAGUAGUGGCUGUGUGCUACAUGUGACAAAAAUCUUCAUAUGAAUGGGCUUUAGGGUAGUGUGGCAAGACGGAAGCUCUUUCUUACAAAGAAAAACAUCCAAGCACGGCUGAUAUUUGCAAAAACAAACAUAAAGUAUCCCAAAAGCACAUGGGAGAACGUGUUAUGGUCUGAUGAAACCAAGGUUGAAAAUUUUGGCCAUAAUUACAAAAGGUAUGUUUGGCGCAAAGACAACACUGCACAUCACCCAAAGAACACCAUACCCACAGUGAAGCAUGGUGGUGGCAGCAUCAUGCUUUGGGGCUGUUUUCUUCAGCUGGAACCAGGGCCUUGGUCAGGGUGGAGGGAAUUAUGAACAGUUCCAAAUACUAGGCAAUUUUGGCACAAAACCUUCAGGCGUCCGUUAGAAAGAUGAAGAUGAAGAGGAAGUUCACCUUUCAGCACGACACCAACCCAAAGCACACUUGCAUAUCCACAAAAGCAUGGCUUCAUCAGAAGAAGAUUAACGUUUUGGAAUGGCUUAGCCAGAGCCCAGACCUAAAUCCAAUUGCACAUCUGUGGGGUGAUCUGAAGAGAGCUGUGCACAGGAUAUGACAGAUUUGUAGCGCUUUUGCAAAGAAGAGUGGGCAAAUAUUGGCACAUCAAGAUGUGCCAUGCUAACCGACUCCUACGCAAAAAGUGUGAGUGCUCUAAUAAAAUCAAAAGGUGCUUCAACAAAGUAUUAGUUUAAUGGUGUGCACACUUAUGCAACCAGGUUAUUGUGAGUUUUUAAUUUUCCCCCCUCAAAGAUUUCAGUUUGUUUUUCAAUUGAAUUGUUCACGUUAUAGGUCACAUUAAAGGUGGAAAAAGUUCUGACAUGAUUAUCUUUGUCUCAUUCUUUUACAUCACAAGAACCUGGCAUUUUAACAGGGGUGUGUAGACUUUUUAUAUCCUCGGGUAUAGGCCUGCAUUUGAAGGCCACAUAGUGUCAGGCUGUGAACAUGACCCAGUCUCCUGAACAUCAGUGUUGCACUGAGAACCAAGGGACUGGUACUGGAGCGUCAUGUCAGCAAAAGCCUGUUCCAUGUAGCUGUCAUGUAACCCGGCCACCUCCAGACUGAACACCUGCCUGUGGCCCCUCACAACAACAACAUCAGGUGUAUUCAGGACGCCAGAGGACACAUCGUUAUUAUUACCUAAACAUGCAUAAACGCACGCACUCAGAUUUACAGCUCUGUUUCGAUAAAGCCACCAUGUUCAUGGGAGACUAUAACCCAGACUGAGAGGGCAGCAGACUGGGUCUGGAAAGUCAGCACUCUUUCUGCCAACCAGCCCUUCUCUCUAAUGACGUGGCAACAUUUCAUCCCUGCAUCAAUCCAGCCCUUCGCUCCAUCACUCACGUUCAUCCACUCCUUCCCAUUUCAUCAGUCCAUCCAUCCACUCUUUCACUUCAUCCCUCCAUCCCUUCCACUCCAUAUACAUUUUAAUCACAAGCAUUCUGGAGGUGAUGCGAUGUGUGAAGUGAAGGGUAGAGGAUUAGACUUGGCAGUGUGUGUGGGUGUGUGUGUGUAUAUGUGUGUAUGUGUGUGUGUGUGUCUACGCAUCUUGCAUCCUGUGUCUGUGUAUGCAGAUGCACUGACUGGUUUGUGUGUGUGUGUGUGCAGUCACUGUGAUUGUGAUUUAAAUGACAUUUCUGACUCGUGCUCAAUGUUAGUGGUAAUUUUGCAUUUACAUUUUCCCCAGAGUUUACAAUGGGAUCAUAUAUUCUACCUCUCAAUUUGUCUAAUGAGCGUUUUUUUCAUUACAUUAAAAGAACAUGGAGAGGGGGAUAGAUGGAUGGAUAUAGACAGAGAAAAAUAAAGAGAGACAAGAAGGCAGGACAGAGAGACCAGAAGGCAGGACAGAAAGACAAGAAGGCAGGACAGAAAGACAAGGAGAAAGACAGGACAGAGUCAAGAAGAAAGACAGGACAGAGUCAAGAAGAAAGGCAGGUCAGAGAGAUAAGACAAAAGACAGGACAGAGUCAAGAAGAAAGGCAGGUCAGAGAGAUAAGACAAAAGACAGGACAGAGUCAAGAAGAAAGACAGGUCAGAGAGAUAAGACGAAAGACUAAGCCGAGGCCCCAUGAAACCAUCAAAGCCACAGUUUCAGUCACAAUCUGUGGUGAAUCUGAGCAACAACUACUGGUAUAUGAAGGCAUGUGUGAGUAGACCUCAGAAAUCUGUGUUGCCAUUGGAGCAGCACAACAAUGACAGGUCAUGUUUUAAGUCACAUCCCACACUACGUACAGUGGUCCAGUGUGUUGCCCUGAAUAGAAAAUACAUGGUGUUACUCUAGACGCAGCCACAGUUACAGACAUGACCGUGAGCAAAUAUGUUGAUGCCUUUUUACCGUCCAAUCCACCAUAAACACACCAUUUCCAUGCCCUUUCCCUAUGUCUUCAAACAAUGUGCCAAUGUUCUCUACCUUUGGGUUACAUAUCAUGAUUUCAAGUGCCAUUUAAAAAAAAUUAAAUGUUAUUAUGUAAAAGGCAUUUUAUGCCUUUUACAUUUGAUUUUGUGAUGUUGUACAAUUUCUUCAAACAGGUACAGUGUUACAUCCUGUGUGCAGCGAUCAGGAACUUCACAACGUCGCCUUCAUAUAACCCGUUGAAUGUUGGUUUUCUUCUAUAACUCUUUGCCUUUGCCACUCUCAUACAUUUGACACACUUGACUUGAAAUGCUGGUAAGACUGAACGUCUGUGUCUAUACAAAAUGUAAUCUGAAUUGGAUUAAGUUGUUCCUGUAAUACUCUAGCACUGAAGUGAUUGCCCCCCCCGCCACCUUCACCUCACUGCCAUAGAGAGGAACCUUCAAGUCAAAGGCUACAUACUGAAUGAAUAUACUCAUUUGCUGUGCAGUAAUAUGUCAUGGAAAAGCACAAAAAUGUUUCUUUAUCUCAUUUGAAAAGGAGUGUAUCUACUGUAUAUUCUUGUAAAUAUUCAAUUUAACGGUAUCUUAUCCAUUUUGUUUUGAGGAUUCCUUUUUCAUACUUGACACAGGCCUUUCUCUGAUGUGUGGGGUGAAUGAGAUGUAAGUACAAUAAGUACAGUAUUCAAACCACCUACCUUUAAAUGCUGAGGGUAGCUGUUUUGUUUCUUCAUAGUAGAACAGCAGUCUUGACCAACUGAGCUGUAUGAAAAAAGUCUGCAGUUGAUUUGACUUAUGACUUAAGGCUGUACACAUACACACAUACACACACACAUACACUCGCAUAUACUAAGCAUUUAGGGCCGGUUUUGUGGACUCUAGCCUGGGACUAAAAGAUCAAACUCAAUAAAAGAAACGGCCCUUAAUGUGAGAGUAUACAGCAGCAGUAAGGCAAUAUGGAGACCCCUGUUAUUAUAUUCUCUAUUAUUCUAAUAAAACCUUAAGAUAUAUUCAUCUCUGUUGUAUCUUCGCACAGUGUUCAUUUUACUAAAUUGAUAUGUCAUUCUCAAAUGUGCCUGAAUAUUUUUCCUAAUCUUACAAAAGUGACCUGUGGAAUGAAUGCAUAUGGAAGACAUGGGAAGGCAGGACAAAAAGAAAGGAAGACUUGACAGAUAAGUUGAAAGACAUGACAGAGAAAUGAGAAGACAGGACAGUAAUAAUAUAGACAGGCUGGAGAGAUAGGAACCUGUGGAAGGCACAUGGUGUUUUGACUCCAGAGCAUCAGUAUUAUUGUCAUGCCUGCUUUCCCCUUUUACGGAUAUCUGGUUCUCAACGAGGCUAAAUUAAGUCCAGUGCACUGAGGCCAUGGCUAUAGUAACAUUUCCCAAAAAUGUUUUACUCUGACACUGUUUAUAAUUAGUCAAACGUAUUGAGGUUUGAUGAUUGUAAACUAUAUAUUAUUGUUUAAUUAAUUACAUUCAAUUUGAAUCUCUGAAACAACGUCAGAUCGUCGAUGUUACACUGAACAAAAUUAUAAACACAACACUUUUUGCCCCCAUUUAUCAUGAGCUGAACCC